Molecule: long non-coding RNA, 282 nt
Filed under: Brassica napus (rape)
Lineage: Eukaryota; Viridiplantae; Streptophyta; Magnoliopsida; Brassicales; Brassicaceae
Description: long non-coding RNA (BNAP_LNC025415)
Source: RNAcentral
CUACGGCUCCGGCUUUACUUGCGAUCUCUCACUUGACUUUUCUCACGGUUUGAUGCAGAUGAUGGCGGUGGUGUUGAUACGGCACUAACGAAGUGAUUCUCCGGUAACCACGUCUUCUCUUGAGUGCAUCUCUUUAUGAUGGAGAUUAGAUGAGAAGAGAAGAAACAACUUGGAAUGGAGAUUAGGUGGUGAUUGUUUGAUCCAAAAAUGGUUUUUAUGCUGAAAUGUUUGUUGAAUCAAUACAAUAAAAGAAUCUAAAAAUAAAAGAUUAGAUUGUUGCGG